GAUGAACGCUGGCGGCGUGCCUAAUACAUGCAAGUCGAGCGAACGGACGAGAAGCUUGCUUCUCUGAUGUUAGCGGCGGACGGGUGAGUAACACGUGGAUAACCUACCUAUAAGACUGGGAUAACUUCGGGAAACCGGAGCUAAUACCGGAUAAUAUUUUGAACCGCAUGGUUCAAAAGUGAAAGACGGUCUUGCUGUCACUUAUAGAUGGAUCCGCGCUGCAUUAGCUAGUUGGUAAGGUAACGGCUUACCAAGGCAACGAUGCAUAGCCGACCUGAGAGAGUGAUAGGCCACACUGGAGCUGAGCCACGGUCCAGACUCCUACGGGAGGCCGCAGUAGCGAAUCUUCCGCAAUGGGCGAAAGCCUGGCGGAGCAACGCCGCGUGAGUGAUGAAGGUCUUCGGAUCGUAAAACUCUGUUAUUAGGGAAGAACAUAUGUGUAAGUAACUGUGCACAUCUUGACGGUACCUAAUCAGAAAGCCACGGCUAACUACGUG
This 497-nucleotide ribosomal RNA is filed under the name uncultured bacterium. RNAcentral describes it as "partial 16S ribosomal RNA". It matches the Rfam family "Bacterial small subunit ribosomal RNA", at positions 28 to 507 of the family's 1533-position model. The record is from RNAcentral.